This 145-nucleotide unclassified non-coding RNA is filed under the name uncultured Ascomycota. RNAcentral describes it as "sequence contains ITS2". The record is from RNAcentral. Lineage: Eukaryota; Fungi; Ascomycota.
CAACCAACAAGCCUAAGCUUGGUAUUGGAUGACACUAUUAGGUGCAUCUUAAAAUCAAUUGCGGUGCUCCUAGCUUCAAGCGUAGUAAUUUUCUCGCUUCUGGAGUCUAGAUGUUGUACACUGUCUGAACCCCUAAAUUAUCGUG